UACUACGAACGUGCGCCGACACAAAGAACAUACAUUGAUUAUUGCGACUUGGUUUAUUCUCACACAGUCAGUAGUCACACUACAUACUACAUAGUAAUCGAUUUUAAUAAUUUUUACAAGCCAAAAUCAAAAUGGAACAAAAAAAAUAAUCGAAAUAACGAAAUAACCAGCUACUAAUAAUACUCUAUGGAAUAUUUUUAAAAAGAAGCCUGGAUAUGGCGUAAGUAUUACAAUUUUAAAUUAUUCAAUAUACUAAAAUUAUGCAAAGUUAAACAAACACCAGUUGAAAAAUGUAUUAAAAAUUUAAUUGUAAUCACUGUAGUUUAUUUCGCAGCUGGAUUUUUUUGUACAACAACUAGAAGAUAGAUUUUCAACCCAUUCUGGAAUUUUUAAAGGUGUGUUUCAAGUUAAAUUAUAAUAGUGUAUUUUAUAUAAAAUUAAAACAAAUCAUUAUAUUAUACAGAUAAAAUAUUCAUGUAUCAAUCAAUAUUAUUAAAAUUCAAACUUUAAUGGUUUAUGUGUACGUGUCAUAUUUUAUAGGAUUUCAAAGUUUAUUUUCCAAUACAUUGACUUAUAAUGAGGAGGUAUCAUUUAGAAAAUUACUCGAAUUUUUUUCACCUACUUUGGAUGUGAACAAUUUAAUUGCAAAAUUGAAAUUGUGGAAGACAAUAUACUUAAACGAAUAAACAAUAUUCCAAAAACCGCAAUUGAAGCAUUACAUGUGUGUAAUACCGAUAUUUAUCGUAAUGUACAAUUUAUUUUAAAAAUACUUUGCAUACUUUCCGUUUCUAUAACUACGCCAGAAAGAAUGGUUUCCAGUAUUAAAAUAAUAAAAACUUAUCUUCAAAACAGUAUGUCAAAGGUUGGUAAUUACUAUAGCUAUGCGCCUGUGCUUAAUAAAAUACAUUUUCAUAAUAUCUAAUAAGUAAUCUUGUUUGUAGAAAAGACUUAAUGACCUGGCAAUGUAGGCAAUUCAUUAUGAUAUUAUAUUUUCAAAUGAAGAGGUCAUUGAUGAACUUGAAAAAAAGCCUAGGAAUCUAGACAUAAUAUUGUAAAUUAAAACAAUUUAUAACAAUUGUUAAUUUGUAAAUGACGUGUAAUAUAAAAUAAUUAUAUUGAUAUGUGUUGAGAUAUAAACGUUAGAUAAAGGGGAUGUGGA
This 1159-nucleotide long non-coding RNA is filed under the name Cinara cedri. Lineage: Eukaryota; Metazoa; Arthropoda; Insecta; Hemiptera; Aphididae. The record is from RNAcentral.